CCCACGAACCCCCUCCACGAAGCAUCACCUCCCCUUUCCAUAGGUCAGAGUCAGCACAGGCGUGGUUCCUCACAAAUCAAAGGCCCUGCAGAAGUGAUCUGCUAAGGGCAUCACAAGCAGCAACCACUCUGGGGAAGUCACGCUUAACAGAGAAAGCCAUCAUCCAAUCUGCACUCCUUGAUCUUUUAUUAGUUACAGUAUCAGAGAGGAUAGGUUUGCUUCUAGAUCUUGUUGAAAGCAGCAAUGUCGACGCUUUGCACAUAGUCCUCGAACUUGGUGAUCUCCUCCUCCAGGAUGUCUGUCCCGACUUUGUCAUCCUCCACUACACACUGGAUUUGGAGUUUCUUAAUGCCAUAACCUACUGGGACCAGCUUAGAGGCUCCCCAAACGAGCCCAUCCAUUUGGACAGACCUCACACACUCCUCCAUCUUCGCCAUGUCAGUCUCAUCAUCCCACGGCUUCACGUCCAGAAGGAUGGAAGAUUUGGCAAUAAGACCUGGUUUCUUGGCUUUCUUCUCUGCAUACUGACGCAGUCUCUCCUCCCGCACUUUGGCAGCCUCCUGAUCUUCCUCUUCAUCAUCGCUGCCAAAAAGGUUGAUGUCGUCAUCAUCAUCAUCUUCCUCUGCAGCAGCUGGCUCAGCUUUCUUCGCAGGUGAAGCAGAUGGCAGCUCUACUUUCUUGGAGGGAACACCGAACGGUUCCACUUUCUGGGUUGGUGGAACAGGUGAGGGUUGAUGGGAGGUAGAUUUUUCCAGAGCAUUCAGGCGGCUUUCCAGCUUGAAGAUGGCCUUCUGGAGAUCUGCAACAACACUGUGAAGGUUUUGAUUUUCUACCUCCAGGUGAGAGAUUCUGGAGAGAAGUUCAUUUUGGUCACCAGGCCCAGAAGAACUCGUGCUUGCGCUAGUUGAGCGUCCUGACUGCCUCUUUUGACGGGCAGGAGCUUCU
RNAcentral lists this long non-coding RNA (945 nucleotides) under Gallus gallus (chicken). The record is from RNAcentral. Lineage: Eukaryota; Metazoa; Chordata; Aves; Galliformes; Phasianidae.